Long non-coding RNA from Eucalyptus grandis, 625 nucleotides. RefSeq lists it as uncharacterized. Lineage: Eukaryota; Viridiplantae; Streptophyta; Magnoliopsida; Myrtales; Myrtaceae. The transcript is spliced from 2 exons. The record is from RefSeq and is a predicted model, not a curated record.
GCGGAGAAGCACUCAACUCGCUUUCGAGACUCCUUUGGCGUCUUCGGUCUACUGCAUUGACGCUUCCGGGACAUACAUUCUUCAGUCCAAUCACUCGACAUCUACACUUUCGAGUUCACGAUGUGACUAUUGGCUACAAGUACCAUUGUCCAUCUUUCAUGGACGAUUCACUGCUUGGCUGAAGAAGACAUUAUGCUUCAAGGACCAGAUUUUCUCGGACUUCCAUUCUAAGGGCCAUAUAUAUUCCUAAACCGAGAGCUAAAAGGAGCUCUCUAUGGUGAAGUGCCUUCUGAAUACUCUUGGAAUUAUCUUCUUGACCGUCAUAUGUAUAUAUCUCUUGUCGUUUUCAUCCAUCUAGUUUCUAAGGGCAUGUCUCUUGUUGGUGCACAACUGGUGUCUGCAACCUAUUUUAAAAUUCACCCGCGGCCAAUUGCUGGCUUUGGGAAAGCUAUCAUUACUUGCAAUUUUGCUAAGCAUUGAUCAGGAAUAAGUAAGUGUUUGCAAUUUCUUCAUUAGUUCUUCUCAACAUGAAACUUGUCUUUAGAUGUCUGGGUUUACUUAAUAAUUUUGUUGGGGAGUACUCUUUUAUGAAUGAGGCACAUUGGCAUGAUGUGUUUUCUUCUCA